AUUGCACGCUGGCGGCAGGCCUAACACAUGCAAGUGGAGCUAGCGGCGGACGGGUGAGUAAUGUAUGGGGACUGCCCGAUAGAGGGGGAUAACUACUGGAAACGGUAGCUAAUACCGCAUACUAUCGGAUAACCCAUAUGGGAUUAGCUAGUGGGGGAGGUAAUGGCUCACCUAGGCGACGAUCCCUAGCUGGUCUGAGAGGAUGAUCAGCCACACGGGGACUGAGACACGGCCCAGACUCCUACGGAGGCAGCAGUGGGGAAUAUUGCACAAUGGGCGCAAGCCUGAUGCAGCCAUGCCGCGUGUAUGAAGAAGGCCCUAGGGGUGUAAAGUACUUUCAGUCGGGAGGCGUUACCGACAGAAGAAGCACCGGCUAACUCCGUGCCAGCCGCCGCGGUAAUUC
This 403-nucleotide ribosomal RNA is filed under the name uncultured bacterium. Its description in RNAcentral is "partial 16S ribosomal RNA". It matches the Rfam family "Bacterial small subunit ribosomal RNA", at positions 30 to 526 of the family's 1533-position model. The record is from RNAcentral.